AAAGCUUUAAGUUAAAUAAACUGUUAACCUUCAAAGUUAAAAAUAUAUAAAUUUUAUAUAAGCUUUA
This 67-nucleotide transfer RNA is filed under the name Arma custos. Its description in RNAcentral is "tRNA-Trp". Lineage: Eukaryota; Metazoa; Arthropoda; Insecta; Hemiptera; Pentatomidae. The record is from RNAcentral.